AUAGCAACUCAACAAUCAACAGGGCUUUGAAGUGGAAAAGGAGUGGGUGGUGGGGGUGUGUGUGGCUUUAGGGUCUCUGGCUUAGGAAGCUGAGUCUCCGUAGUGCCAUUCAUACAGAUGGAAUGAGAGAAGAAGCAGUUUCAUGGGAAAGUAGUAAAUUUGAUUGAGUAACAAGAGCUUGGGGGAUCCAGAAGAGAGCUAGGUUUGCAGUUCAGGAGUCCAGGAGAGAGUCAGACUGAAAACAUAAGCCCAUGGAUAGUCAGUCAGUGAAGCCAUGGGAAUGAAGAUCACCUAUGGGAAACACAGAUGGAAGAGAAUGUUACAACAAUGAAGUGUGGUCUAUACAAUUAAUUGCUGCAAAGAGCUCAGAAUAGAGUGAUCUGUGAUAUCUUCCCGCUACUCCCAAGUCGGGAGAGAGAGAGAAUGAAGACCCAUUGCUGUACAGGAACAAACUGAACAUGUUGAAGGUCCCGCAAGGCGAGGGUGGCUGGAAUGCAGACACAACACCAGGAGGAACAGGAGAUGGGGCUGACAAGAGAGGCAGGAGUCAGAUCUCAUGGGAACUGUCACCUGCAGUGUUGCAGACCUCUUUGAAUACACCAUGAGCAUUGUGGAUUCUCGCCUCUGGAAAAUAAAAAUCACAUACAGAAAAAUUCAGACAACUUUAAGGAGUUUGAAGAAUCCCUGCUAGUCGUGGACCCAUUUGGGGUUGAUGGAUUCCUGACCAUGACUCCUUGGAUUCAGAAGUUAUGUAAGAUGCAGUUUAACAAACACUGGAAAUCAAACGAGCAUUCUGAGGACAAACAGCAUCUUCCAUACAUCAUCUUCUGGAAUAUCCCAGAUCUGGAUGAGGUCACAGGAAUGUCCAUUCAUAGGGAGCUCUACCUGGAGCUCAGAGAUCAUUGAGAGAGGGUAAUCAUCAUGGAUGUGUCCAAGUGAAGGUAGUUUGGAAAGAAACAAAGUUACCCUUUUUUCUCACUAAACGUCUUAGGGUCCCCAUUAGCAGGAAGGAAGGAAGAGGACAGGUGAGCUCCCUGGUAUUGAUGUAUUUACAGAGAACCUAGACAUCAGCCAUACAUACAGAGGACACUCAUUUGGCCAGAAUUUGGGCUUUGACUUUAAUUAAAUUCCCUUGCUCCCAAUAAAACCUCUCUUAAUCUG
Molecule: long non-coding RNA, 1161 nt
Organism: Pongo pygmaeus (Bornean orangutan)
Lineage: Eukaryota; Metazoa; Chordata; Mammalia; Primates; Hominidae
Exons: 3
Source: RefSeq, a predicted model, not a curated record